This 254-nucleotide ribosomal RNA is filed under the name uncultured bacterium. Its description in RNAcentral is "partial 16S ribosomal RNA". It matches the Rfam family "Bacterial small subunit ribosomal RNA", at positions 524 to 776 of the family's 1533-position model. The record is from RNAcentral.
UACGUAGGGGGCUAGCGUUGUCCGGAUUUAUUGGGCGUAAAGAGCUCGUAGGUGGUUCGGUAAGUCGGAUGUGAAAUCUCCAGGCUCAACCUGGAGGGGUCAUUCGAUACUGCCGUGACUAGAGUUCGGUAGAGGAGUGUGGAAUUCCUGGUGGAGCAGUGAAAUGCGCAGAGAUCAGGAGGAACACCCGUAGCGAAGGCGGCACUCUGGGCCGAUACUGACACUGAGGAGCGAAAGCGUGGGGAGCGAACAGG